AUGAACGCAAUGGAGCCCGCGGAAGAGGUGGAGAUUUGGGCGCCCAUCUUGGCUGACCCUCUUGAUUGGCCUCCAUCUUCUGUCACUGUUCUUCUUCCAAGUCAGGUGGAAGAAUAUUUUAGUUCUAUGUAUGGCGUUGAUGACAUGGAGAUCAAACAAUUUGCACAAGAGCCCGAAGGUGAGCAAUGGCGCCAGCAAUAUCUGGGAGACCUCAUAGUAAAGGAAAAUUGGAGGCGUGGCCCACGAGGUCCUCGCAGGAGGAGGGUAUUUCCUUCAGGAAGCGGAGGAAUGAAUUUUCACCGUCGGAAAAACAACGAACAUUGGACACAUGAAGAAGUGAAGAAGCUGGUUAAGGGUGUCAAGACAUAUGGUGCUGGGAAAUGGACCAUGGUGAAGAGUCACUACUUCUCAUCGUCAGUUCGAGACCCAACACAUCUCAAGGACAAAUGGAGGAACCUUUUGAGAGCUUGUGGGGUCAUGUGCGCCUCCAAAAGGAAGGAAAAGGCACAAAAGACUAUGUUCCUGCCCCUAGAUACAAACUUGAUCGAACAGAUCCAAGGGUUAGCUAUUGAUUCAGCCUUCGCAUCCAAAAUGAAGAAAUGCCAUGGGAAAGGAACAAUCCGUCUGGAAAUGAUAACGAAAUGA
Molecule: ribosomal RNA, 645 nt
Filed under: Triticum aestivum (bread wheat)
Lineage: Eukaryota; Viridiplantae; Streptophyta; Magnoliopsida; Poales; Poaceae
Description: partial small subunit ribosomal RNA
Source: RNAcentral